Non-coding RNA from Hydra vulgaris (swiftwater hydra), 2068 nucleotides. Lineage: Eukaryota; Metazoa; Cnidaria; Hydrozoa; Anthoathecata; Hydridae. The record is from RefSeq and is a predicted model, not a curated record.
GUUUUACUUUUUAAAAAUAGUCUUUUAUUACUAAGAAUACUAUUGAUUUUUUUAAAUAAUUGUAUAAUCAUUUAUUGUGUUAUUGUAUAUAUUUUUUAUUGCUUACUCUUUUCACACACCUAAAUCAGUUUCAAGGCUGCCUUGAAACUAAUUUUGGUGUGUGAAAAGAGUAAGUAAUUUAAAUUAUCUUUAGCAGAACUUUGUCUUGAUGGCAAAGUUCAGCUAAAGAUAAUUUAAUAUGGUGAAAUAAAAAUUAAAUGACACUUUUAUAUGGGGAUUCAGCAUAAAAUGCAAAAAAAAAAAAAUAUUAAAAACAAAAACAGCAUUUUCUCAGCUUUUUUCCAUACCCAGAAUUUACCAUAUAACCACCUUAAGCUCUAUGAUACAUAAAAAUUAUAUACAUGUUUUAUCUAUGCAAAUAAUAAUAAAUGUAUCUAGACAUUUUUUAUAGGUUAAUAGUGAUUUUUUAAAUGAGUUAAUUGUGUUUAAAAGCCAACCCAAUUAAAUAGUUGUAUUAUGAUUGUUUAAUUUAGUGCAUUGUUGUAUUAUGAUUGUUUAAUUUAGUGCAUCGUGGGACCUAAAAAGAAAACAUUUCUACUUGAUGUUAAAGCUAAUAGUUAGUUAAAUUGUAAUUUUACACUACCAGCUCAUCAAAUAUUGGUUGUAGCAAUGGACGCCUACUGCAUAUAUUGGCAACUAACAGGGAUUCAUAUUAACUAUAGAAGUAAUCAAUAAGUAUUUUAACAUCAAAGUUUGUACUAAUUAGAUUCUUCAACUAGUAAAAACAUCAAAAAAGUUUGUAAACCAUUUUUCACGAGAUUCAUAACAAUUAUUGACAUCUGCAACAUGCUCUGUGCAUACCAAAUAAUAACAUCUGCUAUGGCACAAACAUCGCAAUCAAUUCCAACCUCAAUUCACUUUGCUAUAUGUUCUUCAUUUCCCUUUCAACAAAUCAGUGUUUUAUCUGUAUCAAAUAGUGGUCACUUACAUCUUUUAUCUAGUCCUGCUAUAGAAACCUCUUCUCAUGAACCACUAUCCAGUUAGAGAGCUGACUAGUUAAGUCCCAGAAAAAGGUUAUGAGAAAGAGAUUUAAAUUUUUUGUUUGAAACAACAGUUAACCAUUUAACGAAACCAAGUUUUCUUAUCAAAAGGCAAUUUUAUGCCUACAACUUGCUGACAAAAAUUAUGCAAUUCUUGUACUGCAAAAUGACAUUGAUACUGAUUUUACAGGAAGAGUUGGAGGAAAUUCAGCAAGUAACACAAAACACCUAAACUCAAAAACACUACUCAGCAGAUAUUAGAACACUUAUAUACGACAUGCUAGUGUGUUAAGUUCCUGGUUUCAUUCACUACACAAUUCAUUUUCUAUACAAUUCUGCAAUACAAACUUUGCUACAAGUAUGCAAAAGUGAUCCAAAGGAUUUUGGGUUCUUUUUGGACCAACACGAGUUGCCCAGAAGAUUGCUACCAUGCUAUAGAGGGAACAGAAUACAUAUGCUUUUCCACACAUGUGGUACUUUGAUCUAUAAUUAUUCCAUAUUGAAAAUGUUUUUGUGUUCUGGCUUGACAUUAUGUGAAUGUCUGCGAAAUGGUUUGUUUCAAGACUUUACAUCUGAAACAGGUUUUAACUAAUAGCAUGCUAAAAGAUUGCAAUUUGCUACUGUCUUAAAGUCCUCAAGAUUAUAUUUAAUAAUUCAGUUACACAACGUGAUGAGUACUACCCGCUUGCUUUGAUGUUUGUUAAUCUUCUUCAUUUCAAUAUUAAAUCGAUAUCAUUAUAUGUGGUUUCCAUCGCGUACUAAAGAUUUGACUCUUUCUAUGGAUGUCACAGUUUUAUUUACUUCAAAAACUAGGCUUUUUUCAAAGCCACAAUUCUGUUGAAAACAUUACUAAGCAAAUAAAAUGACUAUUAUAGUGUAAAUUUAUUGUGAAAGAAGUAUGUUUAGAAAAAAAUAUUUGUAUUUUUUGCAGUUUGUUGGAGUUUAUAUAUUGUUAGAUAGAUAGAUAUGUAUAUGGGCCCACGGAAGGAAAGAAAAAGGGGAGCCGUGGUGGGCAUGACCUCCCUUUC